CCUACGGGAGGCAGCAGUGGGGAAUAUUGCACAAUGGGGGAAACCCUGAUGCAGCAACGCCGCGUGAGUGAAGAAGUAUUUCGGUAUGUAAAGCUCUAUCAGCAGGGAAGAAGAUGACGGUACCUGACCAAGAAGCCCCGGCUAACUACGUGCCAGCAGCCGCGGUAAUACGUAGGGGGCAAGCGUUAUCCGGAUUUACUGGGUGUAAAGGGAGCGCAGACGGCAGUGCAAGUCUGGAGUGAAAGCCCGGGGGCCAACCCCGGAACUGCUCUGGAAACUGGGUGGCUGGAGUGCUGGAGGGGCAAGCGGAAUGCCUAGUGUAGCGGUGAAAUGCGUAGAUAUUAGGAGGAACACCAGUGGCGAAGGCGGCAUGCUGGACAGUAACUGACGUUGAGGCUCGAAAGCGUGGGGAGCAAACAGGAUUAGAUACCCCUGUAGUC
RNAcentral lists this ribosomal RNA (440 nucleotides) under uncultured bacterium. Its description in RNAcentral is "partial 16S ribosomal RNA". It matches the Rfam family "Bacterial small subunit ribosomal RNA", at positions 338 to 795 of the family's 1533-position model. The record is from RNAcentral.